AGUUGGUGGAGUGAUUUGUCUGGUUAAUUCCGUUAACGAACGAGACCCCCGCCUGCUAAAUAGUGUGGCUUACGCUUUUGCGUAGGUGCUCGCUUCUUAGAGGGACUUCUGGUGACUAACCAGAGGAAGUUGGGGGCAAUAACAGGU
Molecule: ribosomal RNA, 147 nt
Filed under: Ochrophyta sp.
Lineage: Eukaryota
Description: partial small subunit ribosomal RNA
Rfam family: Eukaryotic small subunit ribosomal RNA
Source: RNAcentral